This 277-nucleotide ribosomal RNA is filed under the name uncultured bacterium. RNAcentral describes it as "partial 16S ribosomal RNA". It matches the Rfam family "Bacterial small subunit ribosomal RNA", at positions 28 to 317 of the family's 1533-position model. The record is from RNAcentral.
GGUAAACGCUGGCGGCGUGCCUAAAACAUGCAAGUCGAACGCAUCGAGCAAUCGGUGAGUGGCAGACGGCUGAGUAACGCGUGGGUGACCUACCCCGAUGUGGGGAAUAACUGCCCGAAAGGGUGGCUAAUACCGCAUGAGCUUCGACGUUUUGCGUCGAAGGAAAGUCGCAAGACGCAUUGGGAGGGGCCCGCGUCCGAUUAGCUGGUUGGUGGGGUAACGGCCUACCAAGGCGACGAUCGGUAGCUGGUCUGAGAGGAUGAUCAGCCAGACUGGG